AGCGAACGUUAGCGGCGGGCCUAACACAUGCAAGUCGAACGCGAAAGGUCUUCGGACUGAGUAGAGUGGCGCACGGGUGAGUAACACGUAGGUAAUCUACCCUUUGGCGGGGGAUAACGUUCCGAAAGGAGCGCUAAAUACCGCAUAAGACCACGUGGUCUCCGGACCGAGUGGGAAAAGGUGGCCUCUUCUUGAAAGCUACCACCGAAGGAUGAGCCUGCGUCCCAUCAGCUAGUUGGUAAGGUAAUGGCUUACCAAGGCGAAGACGGGUAGCUGGUUUGAGAGAAUGAUCAGCCACACUGGCACUGGAACACGGGCCAGACUCCUACGGGAGGCAGCAGUGAGGAAUAUUGGGCAAUGGGCGAAAGCCUGACCCAGCCACGCCGCGUGAGUGAUGAAGGCCCUCGGGUCGUAAAAGCUCUGUGGAGAGGGACG
RNAcentral lists this ribosomal RNA (435 nucleotides) under uncultured bacterium. RNAcentral's name for it is "bacterial SSU rRNA". It matches the Rfam family "Bacterial small subunit ribosomal RNA", at positions 29 to 447 of the family's 1533-position model. The record is from RNAcentral.